RNAcentral lists this long non-coding RNA (168 nucleotides) under Pelusios castaneus (West African mud turtle). Its description in RNAcentral is "lncRNA (ENSPCEG00000000567.1)". The record is from RNAcentral. Lineage: Eukaryota; Metazoa; Chordata; Testudines; Pelomedusidae.
AAUGGUGAUUUGUAAAACGGCUCGUAAUGAAGAGGCUACUGGAGAGUGGCUGAACAGUGCUAAGCAAACUGGGUUCUGUACUGAUGUGGAGACCAUUUGAACCUCUGGUUGGACCCCAUCAUUUCCUGUUUUAUGAGGGAGAGUAAUUUGUCACCGGGGAAUAACUUC